AUCAAACUAUAAAACUCAAAUGACAUUAUCUCCCGUUUUUCUUGGUCGAUUGACUUCAAAUAAAAACUGGUGUGGACAUCAACUUCCGCACUUUCAAAUGAGACCAACCAGCGGCACGUGGGUGACGUAAUUACAGCGUGACGAAGCUUCAAAGACGAUAUGCGUAAAUGCGUCGCUGCCGACACGUUCGGUGUUAAAGGGUUAACAAAGUUGAUAGCAGGCGCUUGGGACGUCAAGACCAGCGUCGGUCGCUGUGGCAACCACGGCUCAGCCACGAAGGAGGACGCACGAACCUAACAGCCCAAAACCGGCCACAGAGGGAUGAUCCCGAAACAACACCCAGGCACACCUUCAGCCGGGCCCACUCCAACGUAGCCUUCAAAAACACGGGACACUGAGAUAACAAAUGCUUCGCUGCUCGGAAACAUUUUCUAUGUAGCCUUGUUUUGGAUCCAGCAUUGGUCCCUCCGUCGUCUGUUUUUACCUUGUUUUUGACAUAGUCGACAAAUAAAUUGUCAACCUGUUUUCGGUGAGCCUUCUUCAGACUUUUGGAACAUGGAGUCUGUACAAAGGGUUAAAAACGGAAGUGACUCACGCGGGGCGACAUCGGCAGAGCGGCACUUCGUUCGGCUGUCGCAGUUUCCGUGCGGCUUGGCCAGGGGGGCGAUUUCUUCAUUACCUAGAGUAACAUAGCUGUAAUCAGCUACGCAUUUUACGUACAUGUACCGUAGCCGAAAGCUACGACAUUAGCCUGGCUAAUGAAAUAUUUCAAAUAUAUCUUCGUUAUGGUUCCUCUUGGGUGAAAAAUACUGGUGCACGAUAAUUAUUGGUCCGAUAAUAGGAAUUAUGACGUCAUCCCGAUGAUUCCAAUAACAUUUAUGAUAGGACCGAUAAUAUGUACUGUUCUGGCUUUACAGUUUACGCACUAGUAUGGGAAAUCAGUUGACCAUUUGCGGGGCAUUGCUCCCACCUGCUGGUCAGAAUAAUUCACUGCAUCUAUUUUUUGUUACAGUAGUUUGGUUCAAUCACUUCCACAUUGCGGUGUCUAGCAGUAGCAUUGACAGUCGUGAAUGCUUUCUGUUACGUUUCCGCCUCGGAAAUAUUUGUAUGUAUUUUAUGUUUGCUAAAACAUAUGGAUGUGCAGUAUAUGUUUACUUCUGUGGUGAAGGGUCAUAUGUACAGAACUUCGUAAGUUGUGUUAUAGAAGCCAGCCAAUGCUUUAGUAGCUCAAGCUAGUGUGCUAUGCUAUACAUAUAAUAGUUGUGUAUAUAAGUGUAUUUUGCAGUUUGUUGUAUAUUGAGUAUUGAAUAUGUGUAUUUUUCUGUUCUAUGUAACCCAGUACAGAAAUCCUGAAGCUAUUUUAUUUUGAAAGUGCAAUUAUUUUGUAAAAGGAAAUAGUUGUUGUUUUAUGCUUUACUUCCUCCUGUGAGUUCACAUGUGAUGAUAAUAGUUUUUUAUUUGGUCCGAUUAACAUGAUCCCGCCCUCUCGAGACAUCGUCACGAAGGUUCUUUAUUAUCCGUUCUUUUCCGCUUGGAUGCUAAGGAGGAAGGACAUAGUGAACUUCCUCGGCGCUUGGAGCCAAUAGGUCAGCCUUGUUGAAAUAAAAUAAUUUACUCAAUGCUGAAAUAAGGCUGUUUGAACAAAUAAUAAGAAGGAAAUUCCAUUUCCUCUUGUAUGUGAACCGGAGGAUUGGAGCCUGCAUCCACCCAAGUUCACAUUAGAAGCAAAACUUCGUCUUGGCUGGGUUUUUUGUUUCUUCCUUUCAUUCUAUUCUUUGGAUGUGGAUGAAGAAUUGGAAACUGGAUAAAGACUUUUCCAACAGAUGACGAUGGCGAGCUCAUGCCCGGAAACCAACUGAUUUGAAUUUAGAUGGACUUUUGUUUAUGUUAUUGUAUAUAUUUGUGUAUAUAUUGCCGCCUUCAAUUGUAAAUAGUUUUGUACCAAUAUAAUUAUUUUGUUACUCAUCUGGACUCCAGUUAUUUCAGUUACUAAACAUUAUUUUCCUUAUUGUAAUCUCCGAGAACCUAGUUCUCUGCCCAAAUACAAUUGCAUUCACGGUUUCUAAAUAUCCAUCUUGCCUCCUCAGCUGUAGUUUUGGCUAAGCAAAGCAAACGGCUGUCUCUCAGGUGCUAUAGUCACAGGAUCUGUUCAAAAAAUAAUUUGGACCCAUUAUGAAAUACUUUGAAGGAUUCUUAUUCAUUUCAUUCAUUUUUGUUGUUUUAUUGCUCUAAAACUUUUAUAGACAACAUUUUAAUGGUCAUAUUCAAUGGUCUAUACUUUAAAGGGGAAGUUUAGAAUUUUUUACAUUAGGCUUAAUCUUUGAGUUAGCCUGGGUUCAAUUAGUCGCUGGAGUUGAUUUGAACAAAUUCUGUGCAGUUUGCCAGUUAUUUGAUAGUUUCAGGGCUUCGGAGUGAGAGCGCGAGUCAAUGGUGGUUGAAAUCAACUCCUUCAACUAAUUAAACCCCUGCUAAUUUGAAUAUUAAGCCUUAUGUGAAAAAUUAAAAUUGUCAAAUUCGCCUCAUGUUUCGCCGACGGAGGACAUUUUGGCAGAACGCCGGAACAUAUUUCCUCCACACCCUUCUCACCUUUUUAACCCCUGACCCAUUUUCAUGCCUGUUUAUGGAAGUGCAUUCAUUCUUAGCUGGCUGUCGGGCAGUGCAGAAUGGUAGUGAAACGCAGUUUUGUUCAUGUCAUUAUGAAAAAUCUGGUGAAAUGAAAGGCAAAUCUAUGUUGAAUCCACCACUAGUUUUUUUUUUUUAAACCUCCAGGUGUUCAAAAACUCAGGUUAUACAUUUAAAAAAUUAUAUUUUUAUUAUCGGUUAUCGAUAUCGGUUUCAAAAAUUGGAUAUCACGCACCCCUAGUGAAAAAACAUGAAAAAUUUUUUUCGCCGUGGCACGACAUGGUGUGACUGUCCAACUCCUAUGCAGCCCACCACUACAGUUUCAAAAAACCCUAGGGGAAACCCUGCAGUACUGUGUACACAGUGCAUCAGAAGAAAUAUCAUUGCAUGAGUUAAACUUGAUUACCAACCAAUUUUGGAGGCAAGUUUGUUUUUUUACAAGGUGGAGGACGAUCGCAGAAAAAAAAAAUGUUGAUGUGACUGUGAGGGUAAGGCUAAAAAAGCUCCGUGAAAGCGCUUUGAACGUCCACUAACUGUAUGAGCCCCGCUCUGCUGAUAAGGACGA
This is a long non-coding RNA of Corythoichthys intestinalis (scribbled pipefish), 3187 nucleotides long. RefSeq lists it as uncharacterized. Lineage: Eukaryota; Metazoa; Chordata; Actinopteri; Syngnathiformes; Syngnathidae. The record is from RefSeq and is a predicted model, not a curated record. The transcript is spliced from 3 exons.